This 213-nucleotide unclassified non-coding RNA is filed under the name uncultured Hebeloma. RNAcentral describes it as "sequence contains ITS2". The record is from RNAcentral. Lineage: Eukaryota; Fungi; Basidiomycota; Agaricomycetes; Agaricales; Cortinariaceae.
AAUUCUCAACCAUUGUCAACUUUUGCUGAUAAUGGCUUGGAUGUGGGGGUCUAUUUUGCUGGCUUCUCAGAUAGUCAGCUCCCCUUAAAUGCAUUAGCUGGUGCCCCGCGUGGACUGUCUAUUGGUGUGAUAAUUAUCUACGCUAUAGACAUCUGCAAUCAUAUGGGUUUGCACUGCUUCUAAUCGUCUGUUCAAUCAGACAAUACAUGACAA